UACGAAGGGUGCAAGCGUUAUUCGGAAUCACUGGGCGUAAAGAGCUCGUAGGUGGUUUGUCGCGUUGUUCGUGAAAUCUCACGGCUUAACUGUGAGCGUGCGGGCGAUACGGGCAGACUAGAGUACUGCAGGGGAGACUGGAAUUCCUGGUGUAGCGGUGGAAUGCGCAGAUAUCAGGAGGAACACCGGUGGCGAAGGCGGGUCUCUGGGCAGUAACUGACGCUGAGGAGCGAAAGCGUGGGGAGCUAACAGG
Molecule: ribosomal RNA, 253 nt
Filed under: uncultured bacterium
Lineage: Bacteria
Description: partial 16S ribosomal RNA
Rfam family: Bacterial small subunit ribosomal RNA
Source: RNAcentral